GCCCGGCUAGCUCAAUCGGUAGAGCGUGAGACUCUUAGCAUCACUGCGAUCUCAAGGUCGCGGGUUCGACCCCCGCGUUGGGCU
This 84-nucleotide transfer RNA is filed under the name Rachicladosporium sp. CCFEE 5018. It matches the Rfam family "tRNA". Rfam says of the family: Transfer RNA (tRNA) molecules are approximately 80 nucleotides in length. Their secondary structure includes four short double-helical elements and three loops (D, anti-codon, and T loops). Lineage: Eukaryota; Fungi; Ascomycota; Dothideomycetes; Cladosporiales; Cladosporiaceae. The record is from Rfam by way of RNAcentral.